AUAUUCCACAGUUUGUACAGUUUGUUCUGCUCUGAGCUACAUAAUGUUGGUGAUGCGUGUGGCUGAACUCCUCCUCAUCACUGUGAUUACUGUUCUUCUCUUCAGAGCUCGAGGGAACCAGAGACCACCUGAUGACAACAUUGAUUUAAACUCAGUAAGAAGCCGAACUCAAC
Long non-coding RNA from Thunnus maccoyii (southern bluefin tuna), 173 nucleotides. RefSeq lists it as uncharacterized. The transcript has 3 exons. The record is from RefSeq and is a predicted model, not a curated record. NCBI's taxonomy places the organism in Eukaryota, Metazoa, Chordata, Actinopteri, Scombriformes, Scombridae.